UUUCGGGUGCCCUUCACAGGGUGAAACGGGAAACCGGUGCGUCAUAGACCUAUGACCAGUCCGGUGCUGCCCCCGCAACGGUAAGCGAGCGAAGCGUCAUGGCCACUGUGCGUUUGCAUGGGAAGGCGACGCUUUCAGGAGGCCUCUUUCAAGAGCCGCCCCUCGCAAGCCCGGAGACCGGCCCGAAAAAAU
This 192-nucleotide non-coding RNA is filed under the name Pseudomonas lactis. Lineage: Bacteria; Pseudomonadati; Pseudomonadota; Gammaproteobacteria; Pseudomonadales; Pseudomonadaceae. The record is from RNAcentral.